Molecule: ribosomal RNA, 401 nt
Filed under: uncultured bacterium
Lineage: Bacteria
Description: bacterial SSU rRNA
Rfam family: Bacterial small subunit ribosomal RNA
Source: RNAcentral
UAUUGCACAAUGGGCGCAAGCCUGAUGCAGCCAUGCCGCGUGUGUGAAGAAGGCCUUCGGGUUGUAAAGCACUUUCAGUCACCACGAAAGGUUAGUAGUUAAUACCUGCUAGCUGUGACGUUACUGACAGAAGAAGCACCGGCUAACUCCGUGCCAGCAGCCGCGGUAAUACGGAGGGUGCGAGCGUUAAUCGGAAUUACUGGGCGUAAAGCGUACGCAGGCGGUUUGUUAAGCGAGAUGUGAAAGCCCCGGGCUCAACCUGGGAACUGCAUUUCGAACUGGCAAACUAGAGUGUGAUAGAGGGUGGUAGAAUUUCAGGUGUAGCGGUGAAAUGCGUAGAGAUUUGAAGGAAUACCGAUGGCGAAGGCAGCCACCUGGUCAACACUACGCUCAUGUAGAAA